GAUGAACGCUGGCGGCGUGCCUAAUACAUGCUAGUCGAGCGAACAGACGAGGAGCUUGCUCCUCUGACGUUAGCGGCGGACGGGUGAGUAACACGUAGAUAACCUACCUAUAAGACUGGGAUAACUUCGGGAAACCGGAGCUAAUACCGGAUAAUAUAUUGAACCGCAUGGUUCAAUAGUGAAAGACGGUUUUGCUGUCACUUAUAGAUGGAUCCGCGCCGCAUUAGCUAGUUGGUAAGGUAACGGCUUACCAAGGCAACGAUGCGUAGCCGACCUGAGAGGGUGAUCGGCCACACUGGAACUGAGACACGGUCCAGACUCCUACGGGAGGCAGCAGUAGGGAAUCUUCCGCAAUGGGCGAAAGCCUGACGGAGCAACGCCGCGUGAGUGAUGAAGGUCUUCGGAUCGUAAAACUCUGUUAUUAGGGAAGAACAAAUGUGUAAGUAACUAUGCACGUCUUGACGGUACCUAAUCAGAAAGCCACGGCUAACUACGUG
RNAcentral lists this ribosomal RNA (497 nucleotides) under uncultured bacterium. RNAcentral describes it as "partial 16S ribosomal RNA". It matches the Rfam family "Bacterial small subunit ribosomal RNA", at positions 28 to 507 of the family's 1533-position model. The record is from RNAcentral.